UCUGGUGUUAGUUGAGCUGCUGUGGUUUUGUUGAAGGCCACUCUCAAGUCCAGGUGAGCUGUUGGUUGCAUUCCCCUGUUGGAGUUUGAAUGUUUGAAAACUACUUUUUGCUGAAGGACUUAUCACCUGUCUGGGUACUGAAGCUUUAUACUAUUUCUUCUGCUGAUAAACCUGAGGCUGCUUGUAGCUAUACAUCUUUUGUGCCAAGGCUGAAUGUGGUAGCUAUGACUGCUACAAAUCCUGCCAGUGGGAAUUAUAGCCUAUUACUGCUGGAGGGAUUUGAUGGGCCUGUGUAUUUCUGGAGAGCUGGUUGGAGUCUAGCUGACUGAGAAUAUAUCUAUGCCUUGUUUUUGAGACUGUUUCUGGAAAUGGACUUGACACUGGAAAAUACUAUAAUGACUGGAACACAAAUGGAGAUGCCCUUGGCAGAAACCAAGAGAAUGAGCUUGAACAAAGGGAGUGAAGUGCAAGUAGUGGACUCUAUACAUAAAAGUUCUGUUAGAAAACAACUUGAGGGCUGUGAAGAAGCAAGUGGUCAAAAACUGCCUCAGCAAAUUCAAGAGUACCAGAAGUGAUGUGCCUCUGUUGUGGGUCACUAUAGCAAGUAUUGGAACAUGUCCUGCUAAAAUGGCUCGGUAUAAACUCUAAAACAUGGAAGUAUGUUGUAGUCCUCAAUCUAGGCAGCAAAUAUCUAUAGUUAAAGUACUAAAUAUUACUGUUUUGAUUGUGAAUUAGAGCCCUAUACUUGUGAAGAUGUGCAUUACUCCUUGUGAGGAUAUCAAAGGACAUCAGAUUGAUACUGGGUCAGCAGUUUCUAUAUUACCAGAAUCAGUUUUUCAUUAUUUUGGGAAUGUACCAUUUACUAAAAUGAAACUACAGCUGGUGUCUUAUUGAAAAAAAGACUGAGAAGGGGAUGUUUGCCUAUAAAAGCUCUUGGGUCAUGUUCAUCUGGAAAAUUCAGUAUUCUUGAUGGAGAUAUAUUUGAUGCAUUUGAAUUUUGGGAUAAUUGAUGGAUAUGCAGUCUGUUCCCAGUCAGACUGCUAUGGAACAGAUAGACACCAGUUGUGGUGGUAGAGGAGGAUCAGUACAAAAGCGAAUUGGGUUGUGGCCAGGGGUUUGUUGAUGAACUUAAAAUGAAGCAGAAUGUGGUACCUAUACAAAAGCUAUGGCACUUACCAUUCACACUUAGUCUAUAAUUGAAGAAAUGCAAGACUUGAUAGGAAAGGAUGUCAUUGAAGAGAUCAAGUCAUCUGAGUUUCACCUACAGCAGUGACCCCAGGAAAAAAAUGGUGGCAAUCAUCAUCUUGUGGAUUUGAGAGAGCCAGAUAAAAGCUAUUGUGGUUGAUGGUCAUCCACUUCAAAACAUAUAGGAAGAUUUUACAGAACUUUGGCAGGGGAUGCAAGGAUGGUCUCAACCCCUGACCUGCAGAGUGCAUACCAUCGUUACACUGCGUGAAGAUGAAGACCUCACAGCAAUAUGAAUAACACAUGGACUAUUGUGCUUGAAAUGUGUUCCCUAUGAGCUUGCAUCAGCACCAAGUGCCUUUCCAAAGAAUGAUGUCAGUAGUUCAGAAAAACUGGAAAGGAGUGCAAUGUUUGGAUGAUUGUCUUUUGGGGAACACACGUAAAGAACAUGGAAAUCAUUAUUGGUCAUCAUUGGCCUGUACUAAUGUAGCAGGUUUGGAGCUCAGUUUGGAUAAAUGUAGAUUGAGGCAAAUGGAACUUUCUUUCCUGGGAUGUAUCAUUUCAGUAGAGUGACUGAAGCCCAGUCCUCAGCGUGUCAGCCAUUUUAUCAGCACCUCCAUGUGAUAGACUGUUCUUUCUUGGGUCUUGUCUCCAGGUAUGCAGAACAUAUUCCAAAUAUAUUCCAAAAUUACAGUUGGCCUUUAUAUGGGGUGGCACAUGGUACUCAUCAAGGAAUUGAGGAAAGAGAGACAGAGAUUCUUACUGGUGAAUGGGGAUAGUUUCCCAAACAGAAAGAGCUAUAAAAUCAUGUGUUGCAUCUGAUUGACAUAGUAGCAUCAUUGUAGUCUGACCCACUUCCAGAUGCUGUGUGGGGAAAGAGAACUGCUUCCCAGCAUCCCAUUCUCACCUUUCUGGCAUCCUGUUCGCACUAUCGGAUUCCACUGAAAAGUCCCCUCUACUGCCCACCCCUCUCACAGAAAAUACCAAGUGCUGCCUGGAGCUGCCUACUCUUUUGGUCCUGGGACAGAGAUUCUAAUGAAACAUAAUCAUUAGAGUAAAAACUUUCCCCUUUUCCAAUACCCCUGGAUCAUUUAAGGGCAAACAAACAGACUAGCAUGCAGAGAUUUGCCCUGACCCUCAUCCAGGAGUGGAUAUUAUAUGGAGGCAGGGUGAGCACAGCCCCCCUUGAAUUACUGCAGCCACCAUUUUACCUUUUCUCCCUGAUGCCAAUUUAUGUUCCUCCGCUCUGCCCUUUUUCUUUUUUCAUUUUCAGGGCUCCUGGGGCAGCAGUAUUCCCCUUUCUAAAAGGGCCAAUUACCUGAAGCAUCAAUAAUGAAUAUUCUGGUCAAUUAUAAUCCUUUUUCUUUCUGA
Molecule: long non-coding RNA, 2556 nt
Organism: Hemicordylus capensis (graceful crag lizard)
Lineage: Eukaryota; Metazoa; Chordata; Lepidosauria; Squamata; Cordylidae
Exons: 2
Source: RefSeq, a predicted model, not a curated record